RNAcentral lists this ribosomal RNA (289 nucleotides) under uncultured bacterium. Its description in RNAcentral is "partial 16S ribosomal RNA". It matches the Rfam family "Bacterial small subunit ribosomal RNA", at positions 773 to 1060 of the family's 1533-position model. The record is from RNAcentral.
GUGGAUUAGAUACCCUGGUAGUCCACGCCCUAAACGAUGCGAACUGGAUGUUGGGCUCAACUUGGAGCUCAGUAUCGAAGCUAACGCGUUAAGUUCGCCGCCUGGGGAGUACGGUCGCAAGACUGAAACUCAAAGGAAUUGACGGGGGCCCGCACAAGCGGUGGAGUAUGUGGUUUAAUUCGAUGCAACGCGAAGAACCUUACCUGGCCUUGACAUGCACGGAAUCCUUUAGAGAUAGAGGAGUGCCUUCGGGAACCGUGACACAGGUGCUGCACGGUUGUCGACAACU